CAUACCCACACAAAUACACACACACACACACACACACACACAGGAAGAGACGUGACUCCGACGUGCACCUUACGCAGAGCGCACUUCCAUACUUGUUUUCUUCGCCUUCCCUCUCUCCCUGCCUUGUCGCUCGCGUGUGCUCUCCUCGCCCCCUCCUCCCCUGUGGCCGUUGUCUGCUUCUCUCUCUCACCUCCCUUUCUUCGAUUUGUGAUUGGCGCUUGCGUUUCUGUCUGUCCGUGUGCGUGCGUGCCUAUCAGGGCAUUCACUCGUUGUUUUGCGUUCUCAUUCACCGCCGUCUGCCCCUCCCUCCCUCCUUACACACAGACACACACGCGCCCAUGCGUACCAUGGCGCAGUCCUCUCUCUAUCCCUCGCAGCACCGCACUCUGCGGGUUCUCGAGCUUGCCUGCCCCGGCUCCGACGCAGACGUGCGCGAGAACUGCGCUUACCUCGUAUCAAAACGUCGCAUGACGAUCGACGAAGCAAUCGAAUAUGUGAAGGGCGAAGUGGAGAAGGGUAAGAGCACUGCCGCCACCGCGAUCACGACGACGACACCAUCGCUGGAAAGAGCUACAACAAUGAGUGCAACACGAAGCGCCGUGGCGGCGCCAGUUGCAGCUUCAGCAGCCUCCUCGUGCAGCCCGUCCAGGUCAUACCUACCACCGCCGUCCUGUCCGCGUCCGCGUGCUUGUGAAUGCGAGGGCAGCGAUGCUGGCGCCGACAACGCCGGGACGACUUAUUAUCAGGGGUACCAGUCAGCGCACACGCGGCCGUCGACGACCACGGAAGGCACCACGACCGCGACACGCGCGGUGCCGGUCUCGGCGAGACCAACGGCAGCACCGCCGUUGACAGCGGACGCGCCUCACAAGAAUCGCACGCCGGCUCGCAGCACGACACGCCGGCAAUACACACAGGGGGCAUCCGCCGUGACGGUGACGCCGCCUGUGGACGAGACGAGCCCUCAAACGCUAAUGAAAGGGCAAAGUGAACACCGGGUCUCGGAUGGUACGACUGACGGUGUGACCGGGUCGGGAGUGGCUGCGUCACGCCCGCGUAGCCGAGGGCGACUGGACCAGAAAGACGGUGAGCUGCACGAUCUUCGCGAGGCCUCCGCGCCGAUGGCCGAGGGGCAGCUCAAUGAAUCGAGCACGUGUGGCGUGUUCGCACCAACGACAGCGCGUAAGAGUCCCGAAUCAGCGGCGGCGGCGCUCACCGCGAGAGCGCCACCUGCGUCGAAGCCGGGGCGGGAUGCGUACAACGCCGAUGCGGCGACAGUUGCAGCUACUCCUCCGUCUACUGCGACUCUUCUUCAAAGACGGCCGCUACCACCCUGCCCUUCGGCGGUACCCUCUUUAGCCUACACAGGUUGCCGCGAGGGCGCAGCGGACGACGGCGCACCGCGCAAGGCGGCGGAGCGGGGGGACACAGAUGAGGGAUACUGCGUCGCUGAGCCACGGCUUUCGGAGCUGAAGCAGACCACGGAGGAGGAGCGCGCCGCCUUCGAGUCACAGCAGGCUGACAUGAUGUACUACUGGUACCGCGACGAAACCUCCAUGUUUGACGACUGCCUCUCACGCUACGGCCCUGGGCAGGUGUUGCUCUUCAUGACGAGCAUGACCGGCGAGCGCGCGGUGCGGGACCGUUGCCGGCUUAUGGAGAACUUGCUCUUCAUCAAGCUCAUCCCGCAUCACACCAUCGACAUUGCCGAUAGCGAGUUCUUCCACCGACGUGUGCGAAGGCUGUACACAAGUGCAACCAAUAAGCACAACAUGCCAGAGAUGCCGCUCCUUUUUGUGGACACGAAGCUGAUCGGCGACUUCGUCACGGUGCAGGAGCUGGAGGACUGCGGUGAGCUCGAUGCGAAGAUGAUCGAGGCAGGCUGCCGAGUGCUGCGCCAGCGUAUCGUCGACGCGUACCAACGGCAGCGUGCUGGCCUCGCAGCCGUGCCUUUGCUGCUGCCCGUGAACAAGAGGUCUGCGGCAAAGAGCACUGAGCCAGGGAAGCCCUCUUCUACUGCCCCUGUCGGUGCUUCGAGACCCAACGUAACGUUGGACCGCUGCGCCGUCACCAGUGGUGGCCAAUUAUAGCGAGGUCAUUGCUGCAAGAUGAGAGCCACGGCGGCAACGCAUGCUUGCCACUUCCUCCACCCGCGUCGAAGAGGUUCAUCAGUACGGGCAAUGGCGGCGGUGCGGAUACGGCACCGCCCCACUUGGCCCCCUGCUGCGUCGAGCAGCUCAGCUGCCACCAGCAGCGGCUCCCGCAACCGUCACAGCGCCGAGAACACGAGUAACGACCAGCUGAGCCGCACCCCACCGGCGCCUGACAGAAUCUCAGCAUGCUCGCCGGUUCCUCGCAGAUCGAGUCGCUCGCCUGCCGCACCGUCGGCGGCCUUCAGCUUGCCGGACUCUCCAGCCACGACGAGGCAGACCGACAUGGAAACGGGAAGCCUUGAGAGCACCAAUGAAGCACUGAGGCCCGGCUGCACUCGCGACGGCCCAGUCGUCGCGAGUAAGAGUCCGCAGUCGACGACCGCAGCGCUGCGCGCAGGCGCUAGCGAGCAGCGUCGUCCUUCCGCGAGCUAGGAUGUCGGCGCCUUGGCGUCGGCUGCGCCGUGCUUACCCUCACGGUGAUCAAGAGACCGCCUUGACGUCGAUGGCAUCCUGCGCGUUUGUGUGUCGCAAGUGAUGGCGUCGCUGCCGAGGAGCGCCGACACCGGCAACCGCAAUGCGCACAAGGGACCGCCCCCCUCCCCCGCGCGUACGCCCCCCAACGCCGGUUUUGGAGGGUGCGAGCGUAUGAUGCGUCGCCCGCGCUUGUUUUGGCGCGUUGUUUGCAUUUCGUCUAGCGCGAGUGCCGCUGUCUCACCCCCGCAGGCGCGCGCUUUCUCUUUUCCUUCUCCCCGGUCCCGCACCUCCCCUCCCCCUCCCUCCACACACGACACUCGCUUUUUUCCUUCCCUUUCUUCUGUGUGCACGCUUUCGCCUCGGUGUCGAUCCUGCCACCCCCUCGCCCUCUCUCUUACCCUUUCUUCGCUCUGUGCCCUCUCCCUUCACCGUUUUCCGCUGAAAAGCCUCUCGACACAAGAAUGCCACCUCUCCCCCUCUUCUUCCUCACCCCAUCCACCCCCGUUCUCUCUGUCCUUAUCUGCUCCCUGCCUGCCAGUGCCCAUGCAUGCCUCCCCUCCCCCUCCCCCUAAUUCCGUGUCAGUGUAGCCCUCUCACCUGUAGAGAGGGGGAGUAGGGGAGAGAAGAGAGAGAGUUCGAGAGACGGCAAGAGCGAGGCUUCCUACGGUUUGCAGCAAUACUUUCCGACGAGGACAGGGAGCCUCCUCCUCUUCUCCCCGAAGAAACAAGGAGGCCCGGGGGCGCACCGUCAAGGCACAUCCAAAAGAGGUAAUGCGGGCAAGGGAACUGAGAUGCACACAGUCACACAGGCACACAGGCACAGCCGCCCCUCUUCUCUUCACCUCUCCGACGCCGCCGCCCGACCUUCUCUGCACUUUCCCUUCCUAAGCUUCUCUUGUAUCUGCUGGGCGGGGGCGUGAGGCUCUGGUGCACGCAGGUGUGUGCGCAUGCACUUGCCUUCUCAUUUCUUGUGUUCUCUCCUCCUCCUCCUCCUCCUCCUCCCCCCUCAUCCUCACUUUGGCGUUUCUUAUUCUCUUUUUGCUUGUGUGCUGGGCAGGCAGGCAUGCGCACGCGCACACACGCACGCACGCUUUUUCCUCUCUCGGUUUUGCGCAAACAACUUCUUCGUACGUCUCUUCAUGUGGCUACUUGUAGUGCCCCUCGCUCUGUCUCCGCUGCUGCUGUUUGAUGUGCAUCUCGCAACGGAAUGCGAGUGUGAAUGGGCGUGGAUGACUGGGUGUUAGGGGAGAGAUGAUGACAUGCGCGCGCGCGUCCGUCUCACGAUCGCUCUUGCGGAGUAGACUGGUUACCACGUGUGUGUGCGCGCAUGAGCGUGUUGACGCCUCUUCUUUUUGCUUUGCUUUCACGUGCUCUCAUGCUGGGGUCGAACACGCACACCGACACACCGGCACAGGCGCACGCAUGCCUCCUUUCGUUUAUAUUCAUUUCUAGAACUUUAAAGGGCGAGCAAGAGAGAGGAGACAGUCGGAGGCGACACACAUGCACACGCACACACACAGGAGUGGAGGAGUCAGACGGUACCAAGGCGGUCUUUGCUCUUCCCGCUCGCUCUCGCUCUCGCUCUCUCUCUCUGUCUUCCUACGCAGAACAAAACCAAAGGAAUAUCAACGAGAGCAUGCGGGCAGACACAGAAGUGGCAUCGAAGCGCGACAACGGUGGGGUGGGGAGGGCUGGCAAGGCACAUCGACUAGAGAAGGCCCGCUGCAGGUGACGGGAGGGUGCAGGGGCGCUCACCCACUCGCUAACGGACCGGAUGGCUGGAGGACAAGAAAAGGGCAACCUACUGCGCUCACCUGCAGUCCCUCCACUCCCCCUCUCCAUAUACUGGCCUGAGCGCCUCCCUCAGGCCGCUCCUAAUCUUCUUCACUCCCUACUGAAACACUCAGCCUCCCCUACGCCUCCCAAAAGCCUAAUAUGAUGCCCACGGCUGUCUCUCGCUCGUCUGUUGCUACGACGGUGGCUAUUCCUCACUCCUCGUCCCUUUCAUCUUGUUUUCCUUUUGGCUCUUGCUGUUCGCCGACUCUUACCCCUCUCCACGCAACGCCGCCUCGCCCUUUCCAUCACUCACUCACACGCGCCUGCGCACUGCCACGUCCAAACCACCUUCGUGCAUGCCAUACCACUGCUGUUCUCGUGUUUUGCGUUGUGGCCGUGACAG
This 4806-nucleotide unclassified non-coding RNA is filed under the name Leishmania donovani. Its description in RNAcentral is "gene:LdHU3.16.0920(CDS-product:hypothetical_prote in_conserved)". The record is from RNAcentral. Lineage: Eukaryota; Euglenozoa; Kinetoplastea; Trypanosomatida; Trypanosomatidae.